GCUAGGUGUGUCUGAGCUCAGACUCUCCUUGGGUGAGUCUUGCUGUGGCUGCUGUGGGGGAGGGGGGGGUGAGGUUCCCAGGUGAAUAGAGUUGUGUACCUAGGAGGAUAAUGGCUGCCUCUGCUGAGUCAUGCAGGUUGUUAGGGAAGUGAGGGAAAGCUGGCAGUCACAGGCCUCACCCAGCUCCCAUGCAAUCCAAAUGGCCAGUCUCACUCUCACCAUGCCCCCUCUAAAGCAUUGAGUCUGUUUCCAAGCAGUGGGUAAGCAGGGGUGAGAACUUGCCGCAGGCUACCCACCUCCCAGCUGUGAAAGAAAAGGGCUUUCGUUCUUCCCCCACCUGUGGAGUCUACACGCUGGAUUUGUGCCCUCCCUUGAGUUCUGGCCAGGAGGCUUCUCCACCUGUUCAAAUUGUUAUAAAGUUCAGCUGGAGACUUCCUUCUCUCCGUGGCAUUUUCCUCAUGCCUCUGGCCACCCUCCCAAAGGAUCCCUGUGAGGCCAGGCAGGAAUGGCCUGCUUGGGGACCCAGCAAGCUUCUAGGGCCUUUGCUGCUGCUUCCUCUACCCCUGUAUUUCGCUCGGCUCUCUAAAUGGACUCAGCUCCAGAUGAGGAAACGGAGAUUCACAAAAAUCAGGUCAUUUGUCUGAGGUCCGAGUACUGUGUGAUAGAGCAAAGAUUUGAACCCAGCUCUCUACUUACAGGUAAAUUGUCUUGUGAUUAUUUCCACAGAACUCUGACUUGGAUAAGACUUGUAUCCAUUUUAUUACGAUGUUCUUCUUUUUUACAAUUUAGUUCCCCAGAGGGCAAGACCAAGACAGGCUGCAUGGAGAUUGUAGCAUGAAUGCAGAUAUUGGAAAUUUACUGGAUGUAUGAUCAGACAAACCAAUUGAAGUGGAGAAGAGAACCAAUCAGCCAAAUCAUUACAGAAGUUGCACCACUGCCUGAAAUAUCUUGACUGAUUCUAUAUAAGUUGAAUUUUUGCCGAAUAAAUUCUGAAAAUAAUUACAAGCUUCCUUUUGAUUUGAAUGUUACACAUCAAGUUCUAGUAAGAGCUAAUUUUACAUCAUUGACAGAUAACAAAAUAGAAGGAACAAAGUGCCCUUUGAGUUAAGGGCACUCCAAUGUCCCGGAAUUUAACCUUUUUGUCAGAUCAAUAAGGUUUAGUGCAACUAGCCAGACACCUGUCC
This 1184-nucleotide long non-coding RNA is filed under the name Homo sapiens (human). RNAcentral describes it as "HSALNT0159717". The record is from RNAcentral. Lineage: Eukaryota; Metazoa; Chordata; Mammalia; Primates; Hominidae.